Molecule: ribosomal RNA, 422 nt
Filed under: uncultured bacterium
Lineage: Bacteria
Description: bacterial SSU rRNA
Rfam family: Bacterial small subunit ribosomal RNA
Source: RNAcentral
UGAGGAAUAUUGGGCAAUGCCCGCAAGGGUGACCCAGCAACGCCGCGUGGAGGAUGAAUGUCGUAAGAUUGUAAACUCCUGUUAGAAGGGAAGAAUAGUACCGGUUGGACCGGUAUAUGACUGUACCCUCAGAGAAAGCCCCGGCUAACUACGUGCCAGCAGCCGCGGUAAUACGUAGGGGGCAAGCGUUGUCCGGAUUUACUGGGUGUAAAGGGCGCGCAGGCGGGAUAAAAAGUCAGUGGUGAAAUCCUACAGCUUAACUGUAGAACUGCCUUUGAUACUUUUAUUCUUGAGUUCGGGAGAGAGAGACGGAAUUCCAGGUGUAGUGGUGAAAUACGUAGAUAUCUGGAAGAACACCAGUUGCGAAGGCGGUCUCUUGGUCCGACACUGACGCUGAGGCGCGAAAGCGUGGGGAGCAAACA